UACCGUUUGGAGAUGAGCUCGCGUCAGAUUAGCUAGUUGGUGGGGUAAGAGCCUACCAAGGCGACGAUCUGUAGCUGGUCUGAGAGGAUGAUCAGCCACACUGGGACUGAGACACGGCCCAGACUCCUACGGGAGGCAGCAGUGGGGAAUUUUCCGCAAUGGGCGCAAGCCUGACGGAGCAAGACCGCGUGGGGGAUGACGGCCUAAUGGUUGUAAACCCCUUUUCUCUGGGAAGAAGACUGACGGUACCAGAGGAAUCAGCCUCGGCUAACUCCGUGCCAGCAGCCGCGGUAAUACGGAGGAGGCAAGCGUUGUCCGGAAUUAUUGGGCGUAAAGCGUCCGUAGGUGGUUAUUCAAGUCUGCUGUCAAAGCGUGGGGCUCAACUCCAUAGAGGCAGUGGAAACUGAGUGACUAGAGUGCGGUAGGGGUCGAGGGAAUUCCCAGUGUAGCGGUGAAAUGCGUAGAUAUUGGGAAGAACACCAGUGGCGAAAGCGCUCGACUGGGACUGCACUGACACUGAG
RNAcentral lists this ribosomal RNA (521 nucleotides) under uncultured organism. Its description in RNAcentral is "bacterial SSU rRNA". It matches the Rfam family "Bacterial small subunit ribosomal RNA", at positions 213 to 750 of the family's 1533-position model. The record is from RNAcentral.